RNAcentral lists this long non-coding RNA (222 nucleotides) under Gossypium barbadense (sea-island cotton). RNAcentral's name for it is "long non-coding RNA (GBAR_LNC017116)". Lineage: Eukaryota; Viridiplantae; Streptophyta; Magnoliopsida; Malvales; Malvaceae. The record is from RNAcentral.
AAUUUUGUGCAAACCCGGAUUGCUACUUUCUUGAAUUUCCCAGUGAAACAGGCAACCCAAUUCUAAGUUUUGGUCGACAAUGAUGAAUGAUUGGUAUAUACUAGUAUCAGUUGUCAGGUCCCUCUGCUCAUCCAAGGUCACAAAAUUUUGGUCAAUUUCUAUGUCUUACCCUUGUAAGGAUGGGACAUGAUUUUGGGCAUUGCUUGGUUGGCUACUCUCAGG